UACGUAGGGUGCAAGCGUUAAUCGGAAUUACUGGGCGUAAAGCGCGCGUAGGUGGCUUCGUAAGUCCGUUGUGAAAGUCAAAGGCUCAACCUUUGAAUGCCGAUGGAUACUGCGAAGCUAGAGUACGGAAGAGGCGAGUGGAAUUCCUGGUGUAGCGGUGGAAUGCGCAGAUAUCAGGAGGAACACCAAUAGCGAAGGCAGCUCGCUGGGACGUUACUGACACUAAGGCGCGAAAGCGUGGGGAGCGAACAGG
This 253-nucleotide ribosomal RNA is filed under the name uncultured bacterium. RNAcentral's name for it is "partial 16S ribosomal RNA". It matches the Rfam family "Bacterial small subunit ribosomal RNA", at positions 524 to 776 of the family's 1533-position model. The record is from RNAcentral.